This 496-nucleotide ribosomal RNA is filed under the name uncultured bacterium. RNAcentral describes it as "partial 16S ribosomal RNA". It matches the Rfam family "Bacterial small subunit ribosomal RNA", at positions 28 to 506 of the family's 1533-position model. The record is from RNAcentral.
GAUGAACGCUGGCGGCGUGCCUAAUACAUGCAAGUCGAGCGAACAGACGAGGAGCUUGCUCCUCUGACGUUAGCGGCGGACGGGUGAGUAACACGUGGAUAACCUACCUAUAAGACUGGGAUAACUUCGGGAAACCGGAGCUAAUACCGGAUAAUAUAUUGAACCGCAUGGUUCAAUAGUGAAAGACGGUUUUGCUGUCACUUAUAGAUGGAUCCGCGCCGCAUUAGCUAGUUGGUAAGGUAACGGCUUACCAAGGCGACGAUGCGUAGCCGACCUGAGAGGGUGAUCGGCCACACUGGAACUGAGACACGGUCCAGACUCCUACGGGAGGCAGCAGUAGGGAAUCUUCCGCAAUGGGCGAAAGCCUGACGGAGCAACGCCGCGUGAGUGAUGAAGGUCUUCGGAUCGUAAAACUCUGUUAUUAGGGAAGAACAAAUGUGUAAGUAACUAUGCACGUCUUGACGGUACCUAAUCAGAAAGCCACGGCUAACUACAU